UGGCGGACGGGUGAGUAACGCGUGGAAAACCUGCCGUAUACUGGGGGAUAACACUUAGAAAUAGGUGCUAAUACCGCAUAAGCGCACAGCUUCGCAUGAAGCGGUGUGAAAAACUCUGGUGGUAUACGAUGGUUCCGCGUCUGAUUAGCUAGUUGGUGGGGUAAUGGCCUACCAAGGCAACGAUCAGUAGCCGGCCUGAGAGGGUGAACCGGCCACAUUGGGACUGAGACACGGCCCAAACUCCUACGGAAGGCAGCAG
This 259-nucleotide ribosomal RNA is filed under the name uncultured bacterium. Its description in RNAcentral is "partial 16S ribosomal RNA". It matches the Rfam family "Bacterial small subunit ribosomal RNA", at positions 96 to 354 of the family's 1533-position model. The record is from RNAcentral.